RNAcentral lists this long non-coding RNA (1022 nucleotides) under Elaeis guineensis (African oil palm). Its description in RNAcentral is "long non-coding RNA (EGUI_LNC011288)". Lineage: Eukaryota; Viridiplantae; Streptophyta; Magnoliopsida; Arecales; Arecaceae. The record is from RNAcentral.
UCCACACCAACUUAUUCCAUUUAACCCAGCCAAUUCAGAUUUUUAUUCUGAAAUUGAAUCCAGCCGAAACUAACUCAGCCAUAUAGAUAACUUUGGAACAAAGUUAUGAAUAGUUGACAACACCAUUCACCGAUCAUUGCUUUCUUCCACCCUCACCAAGCAAGUCCAUUUCCUAAUCAUCAUAGUGUACUGCCACAGUCAUCACAUACUACAGUUGUGCAUCAUCUGCGAUGCUCUACAGUGCUCUAUCACAGCCCAGAAAAAGAAUUGGCAUGCUAUAUUUUAUUCAUUUUAUUCAUCUCCUGUAUGAGUCCUCUCUUCCACCUGCCUCCAACACAUAUCUUUGCAUGGUAACACCAUGUUCCACAUAAGCCAUCCCGAUUUUUCUAUAAAAUAGGACGCACCAUCAUCCCAUCCCAUCUUGAUAUUUGGGACAGAGAAUGUCCUCAGGUAUUCUGAUUGAAACGCUAGUGGGACAGUCCUGUCCCGAUAUAUAGGAUGGUAUCCUGUCCCGAUAUCCCGCAGGACAUCUCACUAAGAUCUGAAUCCUCUUCCACACGCUUCUACUAUAAAUUUUGUAGAUAUCACCUGUAAUCAAUUGUAUCUUUUUCAUCAACAGUCCUCAAAUCUUCCAAAGUUUUCACGACUGUAGUCCCAGUUUACAUCUCUUGGCAAACUGUAAGAUAAGCAGCUUCAGCAACCAAGUAGAUAACAUGAGAAGCCGCACUGCUGAAAUAAGAACCCUCCUACUUGCAUCACUAAGAAGACUUCCUCUCAACUUGCUAAAGCAUUCAUCAUGUUUCUUUGAUACAGAUAUACCAGCAGUUCAUAACGUUCAUUCUAAUAAAUCAAGAGGGCAUCAACAUGUUUUCGAAAAAGACCACCAGGAAAUGAAUGUUGGCAAGCAAAAAUAUCUUGAGCCCUCCCUUCAGAAUCAACUUCUCUUCAGCAACUUCAUCAAUGAAUUAAUUUGGUUUCAGCAGAGGAGCAUGACCAUCAAUUUAUACACCGAUCGCUAUUCA